UACGAAGGGGGCUAGCGUUGUUCGGAAUUAUUGGGCGUAAAGAGCUCGUAGGCGGUUUGUCGCGUCUGCCGUGAAAGUCCGGGGCUUAACUCCGGAUCUGCGGUGGGUACGGGCAGACUAGAGUGCAGUAGGGGAGACUGGAAUUCCUGGUGUAGCGGUGAAAUGCGCAGAUAUCAGGAGGAACACCGAUGGCGAAGGCAGGUCUCUGGGCUGUAACUGACGCUGAGGAGCGAAAGCAUGGGGAGCGAACAGG
This 253-nucleotide ribosomal RNA is filed under the name uncultured bacterium. Its description in RNAcentral is "partial 16S ribosomal RNA". It matches the Rfam family "Bacterial small subunit ribosomal RNA", at positions 524 to 776 of the family's 1533-position model. The record is from RNAcentral.